GUAAAAUGCCAAGGGAGGAAGCGUAAGCCCGGAUUCCUUGUUGCUACACCUGCCACCCCCGCCCCAGGACCUGUGAGCUCCAGAGCCCUGCUCUCCUGGCCCCCGUCUUUCUGCUCAAGGGGACACCAGCUGGCCUCAGGCACAGUGACCUGCGAGACUAACCAUCUUGCUCAAGCGACAUCCUGACCUCAUCGCUGGUGCCUGAGACCAGCCUACCGUGCGACACCACACAUCUCCGACUUGCUCACGACUAUGUGACCACCAGAGUCCAGCUGCAGGCGAAAGAUACACUCACCCUCCCACUUCAGGGGAUCCAAUUUCCCAUCCGCAGAGUAUAAGAAGGACCCACCAGAAGGGCAGGGGACUGGCUUUUUUUCACGGGUCAGUCACCCUCUCCUUUCCCUUUAAUAAAUUUUCUUCUCUGUGCCUGAACACCUGGCUUGUUCUCUUUUUCUCUGCACUCGCCUUCCAGAAAUGAUAAGCACCCACAAGAGGGAGCAAGAAAUGGGCUCUCGCCCCUGCUCCGCACCCCUGCAACUGGUGUGGUGUCCCCGCUGGGA
Non-coding RNA from Sus scrofa (pig), 560 nucleotides. The record is from RefSeq and is a predicted model, not a curated record. NCBI's taxonomy places the organism in Eukaryota, Metazoa, Chordata, Mammalia, Artiodactyla, Suidae.